This is a long non-coding RNA of Drosophila arizonae, 1098 nucleotides long. NCBI's taxonomy places the organism in Eukaryota, Metazoa, Arthropoda, Insecta, Diptera, Drosophilidae. The record is from RefSeq and is a predicted model, not a curated record.
ACAGAUACACACAUCCAACUCAAUAUGGGCUAUUUAUAUCAUGAUAUGAGCACACACAAAGAUACUCAUUCUUUGAUGCAGACUGAAAUGUUCAAAUGCUCCUCGCGCCUUUGUGUGCCGUUCUAAUAAUGUGCUUAAAUAUUUAAUAUUUUUAUUGUACUAUUUCCCAGGCGAUCCCCAGUUCCCCUGCACUCUUGUCCCUGCCAGCGGCUGCCUGGUCCCUGGCCCAUCAUUGUUUGUCCGGGGGCAACACUUUCCGAUGACGUAGAGCAAAUACUCGCAGUAGUCCAAAAAUAUACAUACGAGUACAUGAAUGUAUUCGGGCCUGGUCAAUUCGGUCUGGUCGGCAUAGGCUUGGAUCUGAAUCGAAAUCAGUUUCGGCUGGACUCGGCUCGGAUCGAGUACGAGUGCGUAAGCCCUGCUCAAACUUUUUAAUUAGUUUCAAUUGUCGACGCGCGUUGGCCGUGUGGGUGGCCAAUAAACAGACGCAUCGACAGACACAUGUACAUAUAUAUUUAUGAAAAAUAUUUGCUUUAUAACUAGUUUUUGUUUUGCUGCUGCUGUUGUUGUUGUUGUUGUUGUUGUUUUUGUUUUCUAUUUCAUUGACUGUUUAUAUAGCUUUAAAAUGCAGCGCAUUUUGUUCGAUUUAAGCACUCAGAUGACGCAUGCGUCGUGUGGCUGUGACUUUACAAAAAUAUCCGCUUUGACCAAGUUAUCACCGAUACACUUAUAUUUGGUUGUUUGUAUCUGUGUGCGCAUAUCAAUAUGUAUGAAAUGUGUAAUAUUUAUUUUUAUUGUUAUUAUUGAUUUAUUUGUUUAUACAAUAUUUUCACACAAAUUAAAAUACUUUACCGACUCGUUGGCUUCGCCUUGUCAAAAAUCAACCACAGCAGCAACGCGGACGCCGACGCUGACGCCGACGCCGACGUCAACGGCGAUGCCAACGUCGACGUCGCGAUGUCAGUGAUGCACAUGUUAUUUAUCCCCAUUCUCUUCUUCUUCUUUUUUUUUUUUUUUUUUAGCCCAACCCAAUUAUCGAUGCUCAUUAGUACGUAUUUAAUUGUUUGCCAAAUUUUGUAAAGUAAAAUAUGAACGCAA